Molecule: transfer RNA, 76 nt
Filed under: Helcococcus kunzii
Lineage: Bacteria; Bacillati; Bacillota; Tissierellia; Tissierellales; Peptoniphilaceae
Also listed under: 1 other name
Description: tRNA-Thr
Rfam family: tRNA
About the family: Transfer RNA (tRNA) molecules are approximately 80 nucleotides in length. Their secondary structure includes four short double-helical elements and three loops (D, anti-codon, and T loops). Further hydrogen bonds mediate the characteristic L-shaped molecular structure. tRNAs have two regions of fundamental functional importance: the anti-codon, which is responsible for specific mRNA codon recognition, and the 3' end, to which the tRNAs corresponding amino acid is attached (by aminoacyl-tRNA synthetases). tRNAs cope with the degeneracy of the genetic code in two manners: having more than one tRNA (with a specific anti-codon) for a particular amino acid; and 'wobble' base-pairing, i.e. permitting non-standard base-pairing at the 3rd anti-codon position.
Source: RNAcentral
GCUGGUGUAGCUCAAUAGGUAGAGCAAUUGAUUUGUAAUCAAUAGGUUGGGGGUUCAAGUCCUCUCACCAGCUCCA